Molecule: long non-coding RNA, 254 nt
Filed under: Panax ginseng (ginseng)
Lineage: Eukaryota; Viridiplantae; Streptophyta; Magnoliopsida; Apiales; Araliaceae
Description: long non-coding RNA (PGIN_LNC012380)
Source: RNAcentral
UUUAUUUAUGUGGUUAUAAAUGAAGGAAUUAAUGUUGAGGUGUUUUAUCAGUAUUUUGUCGGAUUGGAGGUAUUAAAAACUCAAAUCGGUGUUCUUAAAGCUUUAUUGUGUGAGUUGUAAUUUUAAUCCGACCGUUGGAUCGUUGUGAUUUUUGGAUAUGUUAUACAUAUAUGAGUUGAGUAUAUGUCCACAAAUUUUUAACCGUUGAAAAUUAACGCAUGAUUUGUUAUGAAUUUUAAAAGGUGUUGAAACGG